GAUGAACGCUGGCGGCGUGCCUAAUACAUGCAAGUCGAGCGAACGGACGAGAAGCUUGCUUUUCUGAUGUUAGCGGCGGACGGGUGAGUAACACGUGGAUAACCUACCUAUAAGACUGGGAUAACUUCGGGAAACCGGAGCUAAUACCGGAUAAUAUUUUGAACCGCAUGGUUCAAAAGUGAAAGACGGUCUUGCUGUCACUUAUAGAUGGAUCCGCGCUGCAUUAGCUAGUUGGUAAGGUAAAGGCUUACCAAGGCAACGAUGCAUAGCCGACCUGAGAGGGUGAUCGGCGACACUGGAGCUGAGACACGGUCCAGACGCCUACGGGAGGCAGCAGUAGGGAAUCUUCCGCAAUGGGCGAAAGCCUGACGGAGCAACGCCGCGUGAGUGAUGAAGGUCUUCGGAUCGGAAAACUCUGUUAUGGGGGAAGAACAUAUGUGUAAGUAACUGUGCACAUCUUGACGGUACCUAAUCAGAAAGCCACGGCUAACUACGUG
Molecule: ribosomal RNA, 497 nt
Filed under: uncultured bacterium
Lineage: Bacteria
Description: partial 16S ribosomal RNA
Rfam family: Bacterial small subunit ribosomal RNA
Source: RNAcentral